AUGAAAAUCUUGGUUGGAGACGUGGGCAUGGCAGCUUGGUUGGUGGCUGGAAUUUUCUCCUGUCCGUCGCGGGAGGGGACAGCGCACAGCUCGGACGGCGGUUGGUGCACGUGGCCUCCCCCCGCGCGCACGCCCAUUCGUCCACGCCGACGCGACGCAUCCCGGCCGUGCGCUGCCGGAUCGGCCGCCGCGCGCGCGUGGACCGCACCGCAACCGGCGUCGCGUCCACGUCCACGUCCACGACGCCGUUGGUUUUGUUCUGCUUUCCCCUGCUUUCCCCUGCUUGGCUUGGCUUGGGCUGUUCUGUUUCAGUUUGUGCGGUUGGUUGGACUCCCCCUCUCCCCCCACCUCUCGCCGUCGCGCGCCGUUGCCGCGCCCCACGACUUCCGCCCCCUCCACCCACCUCCCCCUACAUAUACGCGCCGGCCACAACCUCGUGCAACACCGCCCACUUUCCCAGCUGCUCCGCCAGCCGCCCGCCGCGCACCUGCUUGCUUUCUUGGUCGGUUGCUGGGGUUCCGGCGCCGCCCGGCUCGAUCCAGGAGCGCACCGCCGGCGGCAGCCCUGUCUUUACUUCCCGGCCCAGCGGCCGCGCCGGAGGCGAGGGGGAUCGGCUACCUCCGCAGCAAUCCAGCUCCCUCCGCGGCGUCCGAUUCCAGGCUUUCAUUUUGUUCUGCGUAUGGUGCGCCGCAACUCCAUCAGCAUGAUCUCUGUGGACAAUGA
This 723-nucleotide ribosomal RNA is filed under the name Triticum aestivum (bread wheat). RNAcentral describes it as "partial small subunit ribosomal RNA". Lineage: Eukaryota; Viridiplantae; Streptophyta; Magnoliopsida; Poales; Poaceae. The record is from RNAcentral.